RNAcentral lists this long non-coding RNA (1177 nucleotides) under Oncorhynchus kisutch (coho salmon). Its description in RNAcentral is "lncRNA (ENSOKIG00005021593.1)". Lineage: Eukaryota; Metazoa; Chordata; Actinopteri; Salmoniformes; Salmonidae. The record is from RNAcentral.
GGUGCCAUGGUGCCAGAGUAUUGGGCUUGGAUGUCUGAGGAGGUAUGGCCUGUUGUCAUGUUAUUUCUGAUGUUAAAUAAUUAAUGAGAUCCCACAGCCUGCUUAGUAUGGACAUAUAUACUGCACAAUAGCUCUGAGUAUGGAGUUGCAGAGAGCCAAGAGGAAAUCAGGGCUUUGUCUGCUUGAUUUAUUUAACAAUACAGUAUAGACUAGCUUCAUUCUGCAGUAUUGCUUCAUACUAUUCUGCUAUUUUAUUGUCAUAAUUGUCUUCUAAACUGUGGCCAAGACUCAAAGCAUAAAGAUUUAGUGUAUAGAUCUCUACAAUUACUGCUUUUCAUGUGAAUGUUGUUAUUUCUCUGAGCAUUGUUUUGCAUGUCAGGGCAAUCACUUAUGCAAACUGUUGUACAGCAGGUGUACUGUUUUAAGUUGUAAGGUCGCUUACUAGCUUGUAGUUGCUAAAGGAAUGACCUGUUUAUAAUGAAUUGAUUGAUAUGUUGCAUGUCUCAAGUUAUCUAUGUAUUUCACGUUAAUACAUAUAUUUGCACUUUAAACAAUACGUUUAAAGCUGUUAAUUUUAGGCAAUUAUAUUUUCCUCUAUUUUUCAAAUGAUCAUUGUCAUUAAAAAGAGUCUCAUGUAAAUGAAUAGUUAAUGUGAGUUGGAUUUCCAAAAAAGAUCAUGUUCCUAAUAGGUACACUUUUAGAAAAAAAUGGCUAAAGCUGGGUUUCUAGAAAAUGCUAGAAAUGUGAACUCAUCAAGAGCUGAACGUUCAGGGCAUCAUCUUUGCCAUUAUGUUGGCACACACCUUGCCAAGGUUGUUUUCAUGCUGAUGAACAUCCCAACCUGCUGAUCCCAGACACCCCUGGAGAACUGUACUGCAACGCUGCCUCAUCCAGGAGAUCUGAUUGAGACAACCAGAAUGCCAUCUGCCCCUCUACAAGAUUACACUGGACUGGGCCAAGAAAUACUCCAGCAGACCAGAUUAAAUAUGAAAUAUAGGGCAGGAAAGGCUGCGUCCUAGUCUCUCGCUCGCUCUCUCUCUCUGUCUCUGUCUUUAGCUUUAGAUUUCUGCCUCCCUGUUUCUCCAUUUUCUCCAGUGGUGCAUCAGACACUGUCUGGAAUUCUAUUAGGCUGACUUUCCUUUCUGUUUUUCUAGUAUUGUAUACAUUAGAGUCUGAG